GACGAACGCUGGCGGCGUGCUUAACACAUGCAAGUCGAACGGAAAGGCCCUGCUUUUGUGGGGUGCUCGAGUGGCGAACGGGUGAGUAACACGUGAGUAACCUGCUCUUGACUUUGGGAUAACUUCAGGAAACUGGGGCUAAUACCGGAUAGGAGCUCCUGCUGCAUGGUGGGGGUUGGAAAGUUUCGGCGGUUGGGGAUGGACUCGCGGCUUAUCAGCUUGUUGGUGGGGUAGUGGCUUACCAAGGCUUUGACGGGUAGCCGGCCUGAGAGGGUGACCGGCCACAAUGGGACUGAGAUACGGCGCAGACUCCUACGGGAGGCAGCAGUGGCGAAUAUUGCACAAUGGGCGGAAGCCUGAUGCAGCAACGCCGCGUGCGGAAUGACGGCCUUCGGGUUGUAAACCGCUUUCGCCUGUGACGAAGCGGGAGUGACGGUAAUGGGUAAAGAAGCACCGGCUAACUACGUG
RNAcentral lists this ribosomal RNA (468 nucleotides) under uncultured bacterium. RNAcentral describes it as "partial 16S ribosomal RNA". It matches the Rfam family "Bacterial small subunit ribosomal RNA", at positions 28 to 507 of the family's 1533-position model. The record is from RNAcentral.